GAUGAACGCUGGCGGCGUGCCUAAUACAUGCAAGUCGAGCGAACAGACGAGGAGCUUGCUCCUUUGACGUUAGCGGCGGACGGGUGAGUAACACGUGGGUAACCUACCUAUAAGACUGGGAUAACUUCGGGAAACCGGAGCUAAUACCGGAUAAUAUUUCGAACCGCAUGGUUCGAUAGUGAAAGAUGGCUUUGCUAUCACUUAUAGAUGGACCUGCGCCGGAUUAGCUAGUUGGGAAGGUAACGGCUUACCAAGGCAACGAUACGUAGCCGACCUGAGAGGGUGAUCGGCCACACUGGAACUGAGACACGGUCCAGACUCCUACGGGAGGCAGCAGUAGGGAAUCUUCCGCAAUGGGCGAAAGCCUGACGGAGCAACGCCGCGUGAGUGAUGAAGGUCUUCGGAUCGUAAAACUCUGUUAUUAGGGAAGAACAAACGUGUAAGUAACUGUGCACGUCUUGACGGUACCUAAUCAGAAAGCCACGGCUAACUACGUG
Molecule: ribosomal RNA, 497 nt
Filed under: uncultured bacterium
Lineage: Bacteria
Description: partial 16S ribosomal RNA
Rfam family: Bacterial small subunit ribosomal RNA
Source: RNAcentral